Molecule: ribosomal RNA, 853 nt
Filed under: Dothiorella sarmentorum
Lineage: Eukaryota; Fungi; Ascomycota; Dothideomycetes; Botryosphaeriales; Botryosphaeriaceae
Also listed under: 5 other names
Description: eukaryotic LSU rRNA
Rfam family: Eukaryotic large subunit ribosomal RNA
Source: RNAcentral
UGCCUUAGUAACGGCGAGUGAAGCGGCAAUAGCUCAAAUUUGAAAGCUGGCCCCUUUGGGGUCCGCGUUGUAAUUUGUAGAGGAUGAUUCGGCGAGGGCUCCCGUCUAAGUCCCCUGGAACGGGGCGUCAUAGAGGGUGAGAAUCCCGUAUGUGAUGGGUUGCCUUAGCCAUGUGAAUCUCCUUCGACGAGUCGAGUUGUUUGGGAAUGCAGCUCUAAAUGGGAGGUAAAUUUCUUCUAAAGCUAAAUACCGGCCAGAGACCGAUAGCGCACAAGUAGAGUGAUCGAAAGAUGAAAAGCACUUUGGAAAGAGAGUUAAAAAGUACGUGAAAUUGUUGAAAGGGAAGCGCUUGCAGCCAGACUUGUCCGCAGUUGCUCAGCCGGUCUCCUGACCGGCGUACUCUUCUGCGGCCAGGCCAGCAUCAGUUCGGGCGGUCGGAUAAAGACCUCGGGAAUGUAGCUCCUCUCGGGGAGUGUUAUAGCCCGGGGUGGAAUGCGGCCAGCCUGGACUGAGGAUCUCGCUUCGGCUAGGAUGCUGGCGUAAUGGCUGUAAGCGGCCCGUCUUGAAACACGGACCAAGGAGUCUAACAUCUAUGCGAGUGUUUGGGUGUCAAACCCAUACGCGUAAUGAAAGUGAACGGAGGUGGGAACCCUCACGGGUGCACCAUCGACCGAUCCUGAUGUCUUCGGAUGGAUUUGAGUAUGAGCAUAGCUGUUGGGACCCGAAAGAUGGUGAACUAUGCCUGAAUAGGGUGAAGCCAGAGGAAACUCUGGUGGAGGCUCGCAGCGGUUCUGACGUGCAAAUCGAUCGUCAAAUUUGGGUAUAGGGGCGAAAGACUAAUCGAACCAUCUAG